RNAcentral lists this long non-coding RNA (609 nucleotides) under Phoenix dactylifera (date palm). Its description in RNAcentral is "long non-coding RNA (PDAC_LNC014189)". Lineage: Eukaryota; Viridiplantae; Streptophyta; Magnoliopsida; Arecales; Arecaceae. The record is from RNAcentral.
ACCCAAUUAAAGCUACUUCCCGCGCUCCAGCUGAUAGCCAACUGGAGCUCGGAAGUCGGGGGGUAGUGUUAGGGGAAAAACCCUAGGUCAUAUAUCCAUAGAGGCGCUCGGCCGAAGAGCGCCGACCGGAAAGCUGCUCGGCCAAAGGAUGCCGACCAGGAAGGCGCUCGACUAGAGGGCGUCGACCAGAGCGUGCGCCAAGAGGUGCCCCACCCAAAGCUGCUCGGUUAGAAAGUGCCGACCAAAGACAGCGCCAAGGCGCUCUGCUAGAAGGUGCUCGCCUAAAGGGCGCCGACCAGGAGUACUUGAAGCAACCCCGCCACAGGGCGCCCCACUGGGCGACCAGCUCGGCUCGGCACUCUUGCCGAGCCGAUGCCUUAACCAAAUGUUCAACCUCCGUCUAAAGUCCAAGGGACUGACAACUCCUACGGCUUGCGACCUGCCACUAUCUCCAAGCCAUCAAAGCAUAAGAUCUUCGCAGGUAUUCGGCACGACCUGCCAUUAAUGCACGAGACUCAAGUCUCCGAUGCACUCAGUCAUUUAAUGAACACGGCCCAAGACGAUCUCCGGAUCACUGAACCAUCAGAGCGCAUGGCUCUACCUGACCGC